GUGAAUCUAGGACGUCCAACUUAACUUGGAGUCCGAACUCUCACUUUCUAACCCUGUGCAUCUGUUUUAAAAUUGGCUAGUAGCUCUUCGGAGCGAACCACCAUUUUUCACUUAUACAAACACAAAGUCUAUGAAUGUAAACAAAUUUAUAACAAAACA
RNAcentral lists this unclassified non-coding RNA (159 nucleotides) under Rhodotorula diobovata. RNAcentral's name for it is "ITS1". The record is from RNAcentral. Lineage: Eukaryota; Fungi; Basidiomycota; Microbotryomycetes; Sporidiobolales; Sporidiobolaceae.